GUAAUUUUUAAGCACCAAAAUUCUUAAAAUAAUUUAUCAAGUGACCAAUAAAACACAAAUAUUUCAUAAUUUUAAAAGAAACAGAAAAGUUUCAUAUCAAACUAACUUCUCCCUCUCUUGAUUCUUUCAUCCAAUUAUUCUGCUUUUUUAAAAGCCAAAUUUUUCCAGAUAGAUCUUCCCCUGGAAUCUUUUCACUUUCUCUCUGGCUCAAUCUCUCCCUCUGGUGUUGGUAUGCUUCAUUCAUUCUUACCAUUUAAGCCUUUGGCUAGAUGCCCGCUUUUCUCAGAAAUCCUCUACCUAAUUUUCAUGUUUAGUCUUGCCUCCCAAAUAGUGAUUCACUAUUAUUUUGCUUGCAUUCUUUUUCAGUGCUGCAGUUACUACCUGGCUAUGGCACUUAUUUGCUUACAUGUGGAUACACUGUCUGCUCUCCUAGGAAGUUAGCUUCAUAAGUGAAUGAUUAUGAGGUAUAUUAUUACUAAAUUUCUCCCUCCCUGAAUUUCCCAAAGCAUUCUCUCCCUGAAGCUGUGAAGCUCUGUUUCCCAAUGGAUGGAGACAGUCACAGCACAUUGCAGUGAAUACUGAAUGAAAGCAGAGGGACAAACAGCGGGUAUGAGUCUCUUUAGCACCACAUCAACUUAAAUCCCAAGCACAGCAAUUUUAGCAUUCUGCCUUCAGCUUAUACUUUGGGACCAAAGUAUGAUUUUUAACAACUAGUAAUUAUCCUUAAGCAUAAUUUAUCACUACAAAAUGCCAUUACAUAAAACUAAUAAUACUACUUUAUAUAGUGAUAAUAAUCUCUCACCUCAUUUCAGUACAUACAGUGGAAACUCAAGUUAUGACUGGUCAGACAAACAACUUGGGUUAAUUAGGUCAAUGGAAGAGUCAUCUGCCUCUUGUUAUCAAUAGUGUGUAACCAGGUAAACAUCCACAUCACAGCUGUAUUGACUUACAACCAACUUGAGUUAAAACCAGCCCUCAGGAACCGAUACAGUGUCUAGAGUCCACUGUAUUCAGGACUCAAGCACAUUAUAAAUAUUUAUUGUUACACAUUUACAGUAGGUAUUGUUUUUUAUUUUGUUGUAGUUUGCUUGCAAGAUUUUUUAAAAGUCCUUGAAAAUUUUAAGAUGAUAGUAUUUGUCCUUUCACUGUUAACACUAUAGUAAUACCAGUUCUACUGCAGUAAGUGCUAGACUUCCCAACAUUCGAGUUGUGAACUUUCACAGAUACAAAUGGACAUCGAAUUAUGAACAUUUGUAGAAUUAUGAACAAAUCAUGGAGGUAGCUUAGUGUCUGCCGGACACUGUCACAGUGGUGCCGUUGUGUGCUGACUGUAAGGUGUGAUCAUUUACAGUAGGGCAGUGCUCAAUCAGAGCCCAGGAUGUCCAGAAGUGAGAGAAAAAGUAGUGGUGAUGUGGAGGGGUUUGCUAGGAGGCCCAAAGCAAUAACCAUGGGAACAAAAGUGAAAAUGAUUGACUUUGGACCAAGGUGAAAAGAUGAUACACAUGGCUCUACCAUCUCCCCCUAACCUUCCUCCUCCAGUUCAUAACUUUCUUCUCAUUUCAUUCCAUACAAUCCUCUAAAUACCAUUUAUUGUACUGUACUGCACCACCAUUUUAAGGUAACUGUAAAAGUAAAAAAUGUUCAAUUACAGUAUUUGUGUGUGUGGUUUUUUAUGCUUUAAAUUGUAUAUUUGUGUCAAAGGUGUAUAAGACUCACUUUGUUGAACUUGCAAACAAAUCUGACUUAUGAACAUUCUGGAACGGAACACAUUUAAGGAAUUGAACUCAAGUCCUUGCACUUGCAAGGCAGGCAGCGGAACCACUGAGCUAAAUCCCCGGCUGAAUACAUUACUAUUAAUGAACAUCUUGCAGAAUUUCAUGGCAGCUAUAGUUUCAGGGAGUAUAAGCUAAAAAACCCCAAAAAACCAAAAUAAAAACCCCUUCAAAAUAUGGCAUAAAAAUUUAUGCCUUUGUAGAUGCGAGGACUUAUUAUCCUUUCAAUUUAGAAAUUUAUCAUGGAACUCAACCUUAUUCAUAUAGUAAUAAACUGAAUGAUGCUGUGAACAGGCUUAUUGUUCCCAUCUCCCAAACUAAUUGAAGUAUGCCAUUAGACAAUUGGUUUACCAGCUUCAAUCAAUAUUGCAUUUGCUAACAGAGCACAAAUUGACCAGCA
Heterocephalus glaber (naked mole-rat) is the source of this 2172-nucleotide long non-coding RNA. The record is from Ensembl. NCBI's taxonomy places the organism in Eukaryota, Metazoa, Chordata, Mammalia, Rodentia, Bathyergidae.